Molecule: ribosomal RNA, 433 nt
Filed under: uncultured bacterium
Lineage: Bacteria
Description: partial 16S ribosomal RNA
Rfam family: Bacterial small subunit ribosomal RNA
Source: RNAcentral
AACGAACGCUGGCGGUAUGCCUAACACAUGCAAGUCGAACGAGACCUUCGGGUCUAGUGGCGCACGGGUGCGUAACGCGUGGGAACCUGCCUUUAGGUUCGGAAUAACUCAGAGAAAUUUGAGCUAAUACCGGAUGAUGUCUUCGGACCAAAGAUUUAUCGCCUUUAGAUGGGCCCGCGUUGGAUUAGCUAGUUGGUGGGGUAAAGGCCUACCAAGGCGACGAUCCAUAGCUGGUCUGAGAGGAUGAUCAGCCACACUGGGACUGAGACACGGCCCAGACUCCUACGGGAGGCAGCAGUGGGGAAUAUUGGACAAUGGGCGAAAGCCUGAUCCAGCAAUGCCGCGUGAGUGAUGAAGGCCUUAGGGUUGUAAAGCUCUUUUACCCGAGAUGAUAAUGACAGUAUCGGGAGAAUAAGCUCCGGCUAACUCCGUG